Molecule: long non-coding RNA, 866 nt
Organism: Megalobrama amblycephala (Wuchang bream)
Lineage: Eukaryota; Metazoa; Chordata; Actinopteri; Cypriniformes; Xenocyprididae
Exons: 5
Source: RefSeq, a predicted model, not a curated record
AAGUCUGAAUAAAAAAUAUUAAGACUGACUUAAUAUCUAUAUCAAAAACUUGGUAUAAAAAAACUGCCUAUGGGCACGCUUUCAAAUAAAAUAACGUGGUUGAAUGUUUGUAAAAAAAAUAAAUAAAUAAUUAAGUUAUAAAAGUUACACACUUAUUAAGUUAUAAAAGUGCCACAAUUGUCCCACUAUGCUGGGGUGGCAUUUUGCUCCUAUAGGGUCAUAAAACUACAAAAUGAGUUUUAAAUUCAUGAUUUAAUAUUAAUGAGAUUUUUUUUAUGUAAUGUUUUAAUUCUAGAUGUUUAUUUAUGUAAGUGCUGCAUGACUGUGACGUGUUUUAAUGCGUGUGCGCGCCGAACCGCUUUCAAACACUGGAGCGGCGCAGAGUUGCCAUGGAAACGGAGAAACAACAACUGACAAGCAGCAAAAACAGCAGCCUCUCGCUGUUGUUUUCACUUCUUUCAGAAACAGUUUAGUGUCUUCGAAAAACUCCGUUAUCAUCUCCGUUAGCAUCCCGUUUUCAGAAGAGCAGCGACAAAAUAACCCCUCUACAACAGAGGGAAAGCUCAGAAGAUUUCAGCAUUUCUGAAGGAACCUGCUGACAGGAAGGAAACACAGAUCCUUCCCUGUUGAUGCCCUGCACCAUAGCAGAGUUGGAGCGGAUAAAAAAGUUCCUGUCGGACCAAAUGACUAGAAACCUGCUGAAGGAGACACAGAGGACUGAAACGACAUUCCACACAUUCAGAAACUCACAAUUCAUAUUUUUAUAUUUGGUUUUGCUUUUUUUGUUUUAAAAAUUCAUAUUCACAUUUGUAUUUCUAAUGAAAUUAAAUAAAAUAAUUGUUUAUAAAUAAAGAAUUGUAAAUAAA